This 920-nucleotide long non-coding RNA is filed under the name Pan troglodytes (chimpanzee). RNAcentral's name for it is "long non-coding RNA NONPTRT005605". Lineage: Eukaryota; Metazoa; Chordata; Mammalia; Primates; Hominidae. The record is from RNAcentral.
AUCCCAGCUACUUAGGAGGCUGAGGUGGAAGGAUCACCUGAGCCUGGGAGGUCCAGGCUGUAGUGAGAUCACGCCACUGCAGCCUGGGUGACACCCAGCCCAGCCUGGGUGACAGAGACCCCCAUCUCAAGAAAAAGAAAAAGAAAUGGACCCCUGUGGUCUUGGCAGCUGAGCUUUGGUUUCUGGGUAAUGUUCCUGUCCUGCUGUCUUGGUCCUUGCUCUGUAAAGUCUCAUAUCCUCCCCUUGACUUUCAUUAUCUUUGAUCCUUGGCCCAUGACCUUGCAGUACAUAUCUGGGCUUGCAUACCUGCGCCAUGCCUUAGAGAUCCUCUGUGGUGUGCAGGUGCUUGCUUCCUACUUGCAGUCUGUGUUCUGGUCUCAGUCAUAGGUGCUCUUGUCCCUGCAGGGUUCUUUCCAACCUGGACAAAGGGACCUUGAAGCUGCUGGCUGAGAAUGAGCGGCUGCUGUGCUUCUCACCAGCUCUGCAAGGCCGCCUUCGAGCUGCCUAUGAGGGCAGUGUUGCCAAGGUAGUAACCCCAGCUUAGUUGCCCACUAGCCUGGACCUAACCCUUCCUAGCUUUCAUAAAUUCAGGCAACCCUGCUGACGACACUUCAGUGUAAUGUGAGCUAACUCUGGGCAAGAAUAAGAGGGAGAAGUUUUCUCAGCAUGACCCUGCAGUUCCUAACGUUCCUGCUGUAUUUUAGGUCUCUCUGGUGAUGCCUCCCUCUACUCAAGCUGUCUCCUUUCAGCCAGAGACUGACAAUCGUGCCAACUUCUCCAGUGACCGAGCCUUUCAUACUUUUAAGAAACAGAGGUGCUGCGAGAGUGGGAAGAUCACCAUGAGGAGCCUGGCUGGGAUUUUGAGAAGGGCUUGGGCAGCAGAAUCAGGGCCAUGAUGGGUCAGCUCUCCGCAGCCUGCA